UCAGGUCCAUUUUCACAGGACCUUGCACGAUGAUCUUCAAAUCGCCACGGGCAAUUAUAACGGCGCAAUUACACAGAAACCACUUAUUGAUGAGAUGAAAAUUGUAAUUGCUUUGGGUGUGUACGCGUAUGUAUAUGUGAAAAAAAACAAACGGUGUUUACGUCGAGACAAUUGACGCAACUGCUGCAAGGAAAUAUGAUGCCAAUGCAAACGACAAAAUACAGCGUUCGUUCCACAACAAUACGUCAUCCCGAUUUCAUACGACACCGACCAACUGAUGAAUGAAUUGAUGCGUAAAAAUUGUCAACUCAAUCAACGAACGAAUUAAUUUGAAUGAAAGUUUGACAUUUAAACGAAAUGAAUUUAAAUUAUAAAAUCCACACGUGAUUUAAACUCGAAUAGAAAAUGUAAAACGGAUCAAAAUUCCGAUAAAAUCGCGUGGCAUCGUUUUAAGUGAAAUUAAAACCCAUUUCGACGACGAACUUUUUCGUUUUUAAUUAAAAUUGAAUAUUUUUGGCACGAACAUAUGUUCUAUAGACACCGUAUACAAUUUCAAGUUCAUGCCUUUUAUUUUAACAUUUAAAACCGAACGGUCAUUGGAACGGUACAGAAUAGAGACUUGAGCUACUUACAUUUUUGAGAGAGCAAAUUGAAAGCCGACCACUUUGUAAUGAAUUUUUAGCAAACGCUAAUUUUCGGGGAAAAUUCUGUUUCUUUUCACAAGUGACAACGAACGUCUCGGACACACACACACACACACACACACACACACACUUUUUUCAUGUCUGUUGUUGUUCAUUAUGAGUCGAUUGAAAUGAACGCAAUUUAUUGGCCCUUUGCCACAACGAGACUACACAGAUGAUUCAUAAACGCGGGUUUCAAGUUACAUUUUUGCAGUCACUUUGUCAUUUUAACGUUGAAUGGAAGCCCAGAUAAACGUAUAUUUCAGUGUACUAAAUUAGAAUAUGAGCUCAUACGGCACAUACACUCUCAAUUUUGCAGCCAAACAUUUACAAUUUCAACGUACACAAUAACAAGGGAACAUAUGAACUGUCAGAAUCUGGCAGACACACUGACUGCUGGAUCAAAUGCAUUUCCAACUCAAACCUAUUAGUCACCUUUAACUCGAUCCGAAUUUCCGAUAUCAAUUUUCCAUUUCACAUUCAGUUUUAAAAUUGACUGAAAAAUAACGAAGAUUUCUAUUUGAAAAUGGACACUAAAAUUGAAAAAUCGUUUGAUUUUUUCUUGCAUUUUAUUGUUUCAAUAUCCAAUUUUGCAUCUGUUCAAGUAUUUGUCCUCUGAUGAUAUUUUCCAUUAAAAGUUAAUUUAAAUUUUUUCUUCCAAAUUCUGCUCUUUCUUCUUCUUUUUCGUAUCAAUCAUCAAGUUCUACCAACUGCUAUCAUUAAACCACUAACAACAUAACAGUUUAGCUUUUUAAAUUAUCAUUAAUUUUUGUUGGUAACGAACCAAUUGGUAGGGGACAUUGCUGCAGGUUGGCAAAACAAAUAGUGGUAGUUUUGGUCAUAACUUUGUCAGGAGUGAAAAAUUAGAAGAGAUUAAGGUACCGUUGGAUAGAUAAUGUCUUGAGCUAUAAUUUUGCUUAAGAAACAUAUGCAAUUGCUUUUCAAAAACAAAAUUUAUGGUCAAAUUUCUGAAGGUGCUGAAAAUGGCGAAAAAAAUUUUUUUGCUGCAGGUUGAGAAUUUUCAAAAUUGUUAUUUAAAAUGUAAAAAAAUCUAUAAAAUUAUGAUAUACUUUCAAUGUUAUGAUGAUUUUAUUGCUCUAUAAAGCAAUUUGGAGCCCAAAAAUUACUCUAAUUCAUCAGAUUCGUUGUCCAUUUCCUGAAUGGUAGUCCAAUCAUAAAUUUGAUUAAAUAAAUGAAUUUUCGAAAAAAAGUCAUCUUAAAUGACUUAUUUACUCUUCAAUAAUGAUUCAUAAACGAGAAAAACAAUAAAAUCUUUUUUCAAUGCAAAAUAAUCACUUUAUGACAUUCGGCAAUAACUAAAAUGACAAGUUUUCGCAUUAAAAUUCAUGGGCGUAUUGGAAGUGUAUCAAAACAAACGCCAGUUCUGUCGGAACAAUUUUUAAAAAAGAACAGGCCUCAAAAUUAGAUUUUCAAAACUAUUCCGAUGGCGAUAUGAUCACGUAUAGUGAAAAAAAGUAACGAUUCUCAACCUGCAGCAAUUCUCAACCUGCAGCAAUGUACCCUACCGUUAAUCAAGGUCUUCUUGUAUUCGACUGGUAAGUGCGGUUAGAUUGGUAUUGCAAUAAGUGGCUUCGUCACCAUAAAGAGUCCAUUUUCUAUCAAGUUUUAAGCCGAAGAUUGCAUUUAUGGAAAGAAUGAAGAAAACGAAUCGCAAGUUGUUGCCUAGUAGCAACGAAAAUUUAUUGCAAUUGACAAUUGAAUUACUGUACUCCCUGCUUAUUUCAACUAUUCGGCUUUUAUAAUCCAAUUAGUCUUUACAAAUUGCGAGUGCAUUUCCGCAUGUUAUAUCGCUAUGUUGUAACGGUAAAUAGUCGGUAAGGGACCGUUUCAAAGGCUGUGCGCAAGUCGAUGAAUGCACAGCACGCAAUGUGUCAUAACGUGUACUCUGUCGUGUCAAGAUCCGUUUGGAGUAUAUCAAUCAGGCAGGAUGACUGCUGCUGAUAGCGUGCGAGACUAUUUUUGAAAGCCAUAAUGAUAAUUAUGUAUGGUUUGGGAGUGCGCGAUAAAAUGGAUUACACUAUACUGAGAAUUUGCGUCUUAAACACAUGGUUAAAUGUAGUUCAGUUGUAUCAGAGAGUAUUAUUCAUACAUUAUUUUAAAACGAAUGAAUGUCCACACAAAAAAUGAAUCAAAUAUAAUGUAGAGCCACAGAGCUGAAUCAGUACAAUUUUGAAUAUCGUUAAUACUGGAAUUAAUUCUUUUAUCACAUGGAUUUCGGCGAACAUUAAUUCUAAUGAAAAAAAAUAGCUGAUUACAUUUUACGUACUAUGACUACAGUUCAUACGCCCUAACAGUUUUGUUGGGAGCUUCAUGAUGAAUAGGUGUGCCUUCUGGAAAACAACAGCAGUUUUAUGACAAAAUAGAAAGUUUUCGGUUUAUAAUUAAUAGAUUUUUAUGAAAACAAAUUAACACAUAGAUUUCCGUUCAAAUAAAUCUCGAGCCGUUUUUCCCUUAUCAAAAAUAGACAAAUAAAUUUGAUAAAUAGUGUGCUUAAGUUUAAAGUGCGGUUUCAUGUUGCGAUUGUGGUUAAUUGUAUUAAUGAUCCCAAAUAUGAGUGUUGCUUUUCUCUUUGGAAAGGAAUUGCCAUGCCAUUUCUAUGAUUCAAUUAAUAUUACCGAUGGUGCAUCUCACUCGAAUGGGAGUAUUACAUUCAAUGGACUGGAGUUUCCGUUCAAUCAAUACGCGAAAAUAGUUUAUUCGAUGGAAAACGGAACAAAACCCAUUAAAGUGAAGCCUUACAUUCGCGGUUGUCUUUGUAACAUUCGACCAUGCCUUCGGCUGUGCUGUCCCUAUGGAUCAUUUGUGAACGAAAACACCACCGAACUGGGCGUGGCAUGCCAUAAAAAUGAAGCAGCGAAAAAUAUUCAAAGCCAAAUAAUUGAUGACAAUAAUCAAACGAACAUCGUCAAUUUGAAUGAACAUUUUGCAUAUAUCGAACGAAUAUGCAAACAUUUUACUAUCGCCGAGGAUUUUAAAGUGUACAAAAAUGGAUCCAUUUCACAUGGCUUUGGGUCCGUAGAGCGUAUUGAUUAUUGCGUUGCAAUCACUUCAGGCCCAAACAAUGAAAUUCUUUCACAGGGAAAUUUAUGCAAAGAUCAACAUAAGAAAAUAGGUUCCCAUUCAAUAGGAGGAGUCAUUGCGACAUAUUUUAUGUAUGCGUCGAUACCAUUUCUGAUGAUCACAUUUUCAGUCUACGCCAGUAUACCGGAAUUGCGAAACUUUCAUGGAAAAUGUUUUCUUUGUUUUGUCGCUUUAAUGAUAAUAUUCUACAUGAUACAGCCAUGGACACAAGUGAUUGCGUGGCAUUAUGUGGAGCCGCCGAUUUGUAGAACAAUUGCAUCAAUUUUGUAUUCGUUAAUUCUGUCACUUUCUUUAUGGCUAAAUGUAAUCAGCUUUCAUUUAUGGAAAACUUUCAAAUCCCCCGUUUCAACUGUACAUUAUUCGGAAACAAAGCGGCUAUUCUUAUGCUUUUUGUAUGCACAUGGCUUACCAUGUCUACUUUUGACUACCGGACAUAUUCUCGAUUCUAUUGAAUCGGUUCCAUAUUAUGUUAAACCAGGCUUUGGUGGCAGUACGGGCUGCUUUCUCAAGAACGAUUGGACGUCGAAACUUAUAUUCUAUAGUUUACCACUCGUUCUCAUAUUCAGCACGAACGGCAUUUUUUUCAUUUUGAUUGCAAUAAAAAUUCGAGAAACUAAGCGACAUCUACGAAAUGUGCUAUCGCUAGAGAAUAGUAAACAAACGAUAGAGAGUAUGGAAAAGGAAACGGCAAACUUAUUACUUUUUUUACGUCUGUUCAUAUUGAUGGGUCUGACGGGAAUCAUGGAGUCAAUUUCAGUGUUUAAAAGAUGGGGUCCCUAUUUCCUGUUCUCUGACAUUCUCAACAGCGCACAAGGAAUCAUUAUAUUUGCUUUGUUUGUUUUGCAACCGCGCGUAUUGCGUUUAAUUCAGAAGAGGUGGUUCAUGGGAAAGAACGGUGUUUGCUCUUGCCAAAAAAGCUGCAGCUACUCUUCCACAUGUUGUGACUAAAGAAUAUUCAAAACUUUGAAUUGAAGCGCUAAGAAUGAAUCCCAGACAACAUCACACUGUUUGAAAAACUUUUACCGAAAACAAGGAACUUGAGUUCAUCGCACGCAAAAGGAAAUCACAGAAUUUUGAUUGUAAACUACAACUUAUCAAAGCUCUGCUUCUGCAUACAUUUCAACAACAUCUGACGACUUAUUAUUCUUGGCGAUUCGAUUCUUGAAUUUGAUUAUCAUACGAUUUGUGCAAAUUUGCAACUCGAAAUUUGAAUAAACUAUCAUAAGUUAAUUGUAAGGAGUUGAGCAUAUAGGGAUAUAUUUAUCUCGUGACGAAUCCGAAUUUUCAAUGCCAAAUAAUCAAUGUAAUUGAAUCAAACAUCUCAUUUUUACUACUCACCUUUUAAUUCGAUCAGACCUUCUGAUUUCCACUUCGAGCAGAACAAAAAGACAGCGAAAAAUGAAGAAUACCAUUUUGUUUUUCAAACUUUUUUUUCUGCAUUUUAUUAGUAUUUGUUCUAUAAUUAUCAUUAUGAAUUGAUUUGAAUUUUUUUUAAUAUUUUGAGUUUUUUUUUAAAUCAAUCUGCGGGUAUUUUCUUUUGUUGUUGGAUUAGAUCUUACGUGGUAUUUACAUUAAAAUCUUUAAAUAGAUUAUAUUACACUUUCUGUCGACACAUUCAUUGAUUUUGACCAUUGAAUGAUAGCGGCACAUUUUGAGACGAGAACAUUAAUAACGGAUCAUUUCGCUGGAGUGGUCGUAGAAAAUGCCCGUCAAAAUCGGAAAAUGACGUUCAAUGUUGUUGACUGAUUAGUGUGGCCAAUAGAACGGAAUUGAUUUUGGUUAUCGUUAUUUUCAGUUGGCAUAUCGAGUUGAGUUUAAGUUAAUGGAAAACUGAAUUGGAGCUUCUUAAUUGAUCUAAGUUUAUAUAAAUUAGUUGCUGUGUCGUGUUUAAUCAUAAAAAAUAUUCUUUUAUUUUGGUUUUUCUAUAAAUCAUUUUCGAUCGAUGCGCGUGCAUUUUUUAUCGUCUCCCACUCCAAGCAUGAUGUUCUCGGUUAUUUUGUGCAGCCAUCACUUUAAUUUCGUUUGUUGCUUAGUAAAUUGUUAGUUGGAAAGGUUGUUAAAUAGUCUACAUUGCAUCCGCGAAAUAUUUUAUGCUUUGGAAAUUCAUUCGAUCACAACAUUGCAAAUGAUAUGUUAUUUGAUUUGAAAUAGGGCGGGCGAUUGUUUCUUCUCCUCAAUCUGUUCAAUCAUUUCUCUAGUUUUAUUUUUCUUCCUUGGAAUAUAGAGGAAAAAAUGCUUCUUUUUAUUCAAAUAAAAUUUAAAAUUUAACUAUAAAUAAAAUGUUCUAUUCUGAAUUGAAAA
RNA transcript from Sitodiplosis mosellana (orange wheat blossom midge), 6086 nucleotides. It is a transcript of the gene named G-protein coupled receptor Mth2-like, with no coding region annotated. The transcript has 8 exons. Lineage: Eukaryota; Metazoa; Arthropoda; Insecta; Diptera; Cecidomyiidae. The record is from RefSeq and is a predicted model, not a curated record.